GGAUGGAUGCAGCGGUUCGAGUGUUUGACUCCCAGCCGAAAGGUUCUGGGUUCGAACCCUGAUGUCCGUCCG
This is a non-coding RNA of Merluccius polli (Benguela hake), 72 nucleotides long. The record is from the annotation of a GenBank genome assembly. Lineage: Eukaryota; Metazoa; Chordata; Actinopteri; Gadiformes; Merlucciidae.